AGGGCGGUGGUGGGGGUGAUGCGGGAGCUGCGGAGGGUGGCUCAGGGGUCGCUCCCAGCCGGGUGCUGCAGCAGUGCGGGCAGCUCCAGAAGCUCAUUGUCAUCUUCAUUGGCAGCCUGUGCGGGCUGUGCACCAAGUGCGCUGUGUCCAAUGACCUCACCCAGCAGGAGAUACGGACCCUGGAGGUGAGGAAACUGAAGGCCUGAGGGAGAACUGACUUGCCAGGAACCCCUGUUAAGGAGAAUUAACAAAGUGUGGUUAUUAAAGAAGAACUGAGUUGGGAGUCAGACCUGGAGGCCCGCACCCUUGGUUAAGACAUUAUACCACCGUGAGUAUGGCCUGUUGACUGAGGGUGAGCCACUCCAUCCUCGUCUGAUUGUGGGGUCUUGACCUCAAGGGGUUCCCUGCAGGAAGA
Molecule: long non-coding RNA, 415 nt
Organism: Homo sapiens (human)
Lineage: Eukaryota; Metazoa; Chordata; Mammalia; Primates; Hominidae
Source: Ensembl